ACGAACGCUGGCGGCAGGCUUAACACAUGCAAGUCGAGCGGGUGGUCUUCGGGCCAUCAGCGGCGGACGGGUUAGUAACGCGUGGGAACGUGCCUUGUGCUUGGGAAUAGCCCUGGGAAACCGGGGGUAAUACCUGAUGUGCCCUGAGGGGGAAAGGUCUUUGGACUGGCACAGGAUCGGCCCGCGUCUGAUUAGGUAGUUGGUGGGGUAACGGCUCACCAAGCCGACGAUCGGUAGCUGGUUUGAGAGGAUGAUCAGCAACACUGGGACUGAGACACGGCCCAGACUCCUACGGGAGGCAGCAGUGGGGAAUCUUAGACAAUGGGCGCAAGCCUGAUCUAGCCAUGCCGCGUGGGUGAUGAAGGCCUUAGGGUCGUAAAGCCCUUUCGCCGGGGAAGAUAAUGACGGUACCCGGUAAAGAAACCCCGGCUAACUCCGU
This 439-nucleotide ribosomal RNA is filed under the name uncultured bacterium. Its description in RNAcentral is "bacterial SSU rRNA". It matches the Rfam family "Bacterial small subunit ribosomal RNA", at positions 29 to 506 of the family's 1533-position model. The record is from RNAcentral.